GGUUAACCGAAUAGGGGAGCCGUAGGGAAACCGAGUCUUAACCGGGCGUUAAGUUGCAGGGUAUAGACCCGAAACCCGGUGAUCUAGCCAUGGGCAGGUUGAAGGUUGGGUAACACUAACUGGAGGACCGAACCGACUAAUGUUGAAAAAUUAGCGGAUGACCUGUGGCUGGGGGUGAAAGGCCAAUCAAACCGGGAGAUAGCUGGUUCUCCCCGAAAGCUAUUUAGGUAGCGCCUCGUGAAUUCAUCUCCGGGGGUAGAGCACUGUUUCGGCUAGGGGGCCAUCCCGGCUUACCAACCCGAUGCAAACUGCGAAUACCGGAGAAUGUUAUCACGGGAGACACACGGCGGGUGCUAACGUCCGUCGUGAAGAGGGAAACAACCCAGACCGCCAGCUAAGGUCCCAAAGUCAUGGUUAAGUGGGAAACGAUGUGGGAAGGCCCAGACAGCCAGGAUGUUGGCUUAGAAGCAGCCAUCAUUUAAAGAAAGCGUAAUAGCUCACUGGUCGAGUCGGCCUGCGCGGAAGAUGUAACGGGGCUAAACCAUG
RNAcentral lists this ribosomal RNA (546 nucleotides) under Salmonella enterica subsp. enterica serovar Stourbridge. Its description in RNAcentral is "partial 23S ribosomal RNA". It matches the Rfam family "Bacterial large subunit ribosomal RNA", at positions 644 to 1191 of the family's 2925-position model. Lineage: Bacteria; Pseudomonadati; Pseudomonadota; Gammaproteobacteria; Enterobacterales; Enterobacteriaceae. The record is from RNAcentral.